RNAcentral lists this transfer RNA (69 nucleotides) under Apanteles gelechiidivoris. Its description in RNAcentral is "tRNA-Met". The record is from RNAcentral. Lineage: Eukaryota; Metazoa; Arthropoda; Insecta; Hymenoptera; Braconidae.
AUAAAGAUAAGCUAAAAAUUUAAGCUUUUUGAUUCAUAAUCAAAAUAUAAAAUUGUAUUUUUCUUUAUA